UAUUUCUGGAGAGAGAGAGAGGUAGAUUUUUAUGUUUAUUAUUAAGUUAGUUUCAGCUUCUGAUAGCAGGUUAUUAAGAGUUUACUUGAGGAGAGGAUUACGGAAUUUUAGUCUAUAGUGGAGGAAGUCUUUGAGAUUUUUUUUUUGACGUAACAGAUGUUUAUUUGAGGAUACUUGUAAGGAUAAAGUUUAUAGUGAUAAGUUGUUUUAAGUCGUUGAAUUUAUUGUAGAUUUAUAUCGGGGAUUAUUACGUGAGGAGAAUACGUUAUAAGUUAAAUGCUUAUUAGAGAUAAUGCAAGUGGUUUAAUUUAAUUGAAGUUCAUUUUAAGAUUGUAGGUUAAGAGAAUUAUAAUUUAAAAUAAAGUUUUUUGUCGUAAAUAGGAAUUAUUUUCAAGAGAAGUUUGUUUUGUUUUCGUGCGCGUAGGAGACGAGACGUACGAAUUAAAUCAGUCGAGGGAAGGAUAAACGUUAGAAAGGAAUUAAAGAGAAAACGAGAGUUUAUGUAAAAGAGAGUUAUAGAAUUUAUAGUGAUGUUUUGUUUUAAUUAGAAAAAUGUUGAGAGUUGUUUCAGAACGACACGUCAGUGGACGUGGCAGAGUGAACACGUGAUGGGGAGGUGCUGAGACCUAGCGGAGAACGGAGGAACCGCAAGCGAGGGUUGGCGCACCUGAUGGAAUUCGGUGACGUCACGGGCUCAUACGGAGACGUGGACAGGCCGUGACCUUGUUUUGAUCAGCUGUACGGUAACUUAGCGAUAAGAAAAUAGACUAUUGGUUAAAUAAAUUUAAAUUUAAGUGUGUUUUAGGAGAAGAGGAACUUUCAGUAUAUUCCUUAAGAUUAGCUGAGCAGCAGUCCAGUUUACAAGAUGACAAGAGUUCGAGAGACAAGAUACAAGAUCACUGAAACAAGAGCCAAGACUGAAGAUUCAAGAGAAGAGAAAGCUGGCAGCCAUGGACUUACAAGUGGAGAUUAAUAAGGUCAUGUAAAGUUUUAUUUUUUUUUUAUGGAAGACAGUAACUGGAGUUUUUUUUUGUUAUAAACAUUAUUUACAGAACUUUUUAGGUUAUAGUAAUGUAAUGGAACUAGUGAGUUGUGGUAGCUGUCAAAAAGAACUAAUACCUUAAGUUUAAUUUUUAAAGUUAAUUUUCUUAAUUUACAGAGGGAUUAGUAGUUUUUUUUAAAACCUUAUUUAGGUUGGAAUUUAAAUACAAUAGCUUAUUAUAAAUGUGUACGAACAGUUCAAGUUCACAGUACUGAUAGGUAGGUCAGAUGAUCUUAUUGAUUUUGAUGAUUUGUUGUUUUGAGUUGAUUUUUAAGUGUUGUGAAUUAGACAAUGAAAUAGUUCUGAAAACUUAAAUUAUUUCAAGCUAAGAAAUAGUAAAGUUAAUUGUAACUCAAAGGACACCAGAAUUUAAUUUUUUUUUGAAUUAGUAAUGUUUGAAAAUUUUAUACUUUACAAGAAAGGUUAUAAACAAACAGAUCGGAUGGAACAAGGAUGCAGUAAAUCACAAUUUCAUUUAGAAUUAUUGAUUAGCUUUUGAGGUUAUGAAGUAAAAGUAAUUAUAGUUUAAAAGUUUGAAUAAAAAAAAAUGUUUUUUUUUUAAUUUGUUUGAAAUAGAAAGUUUAAAAGUUAAUUAGUCAUGAUCUAGGUGGGUGAUGGGGUGGGAAUUGGCCACUCUUUUUCCCUAUAACCUCCCUAACAUGGCCUUCUAUUACAUCUAACAGAAAAAAAAAGAAGAAAAAGAAGACUUAUUAUUAGUUAGAAUGUUUUUUUAUGAAGAUACCUGAUGAACUUUUUUUUUAUUGUUGGGAAGAAUAGUAGCAAGAUUAAUCAGAUGUUUUACUCAGAA
Molecule: long non-coding RNA, 1850 nt
Organism: Bacillus rossius redtenbacheri
Lineage: Eukaryota; Metazoa; Arthropoda; Insecta; Phasmatodea; Bacillidae
Exons: 2
Source: RefSeq, a predicted model, not a curated record